Long non-coding RNA from Drosophila pseudoobscura, 731 nucleotides. RefSeq lists it as uncharacterized. The record is from RefSeq and is a predicted model, not a curated record. The transcript is spliced from 3 exons. Lineage: Eukaryota; Metazoa; Arthropoda; Insecta; Diptera; Drosophilidae.
ACUGCCUCGGCCACCUCUUUGCGAGUCUGUCGCCUUUCCUUAAAUCUGGAACGGGCCUUUUGGAGUCUACGACUGACACCGCGCAUCCCCUCCAGCUGCCUGUCAUCAAAGAUCUGGUUUCGAAUUUUGGACCAUCGUUCAUUUCUUCGCGGGCUUCAGUCCCGAGCGCUGAUCUCCCGCUUUCAUCAUGCCCGCUCGUGCGUUUCCCGAGCAAUUGGGACACGUUGGAGUAAACAUUUCUGGUUUCCCGCAGCGGUAACAGAAUAUUUUGCGUUCCUUCGCCACGCAGUCUCGGAAUCCGUGGUCGAACUGGCCGCAAUUCCAGCAACACAGCCUGGGUUUGUUCGCCAGGUGAGUUUCUUCCACCAUCCUUGCUUCGUCUUCAUCCAGAAACUCCGUUUCCGGCUCUAGCUCCUCCACUCGCUUCCCGGCUGAUUGGAAUUUCGGCACAGGACGGAACGUCGACUUCUGCUCGCGUCCGCGAAAGUGGUACUCCACUUCCAGGCACUCUUCCCUCAGCUGCUCCACGUUCCGGACUCGGAUCGCGUAAACGUAGCGGGCGAUCUCAUCAUCGAGCCCCUUCUUCAAGACUCGCACCAUUUCGGACUCAACCAAAGAUUCGCCAGAUUGUUGCCUUCGCUCAUGCAAGGUGCGUAGCCGCUCGAACUCGCCACCCACUGCUCGGAACCGGGACACCAACUCGUCCUUCAAAUCCUCCCAUCCUUCCGGAG